Amphiprion ocellaris (clown anemonefish) is the source of this 1225-nucleotide long non-coding RNA. The record is from Ensembl. Lineage: Eukaryota; Metazoa; Chordata; Actinopteri; Pomacentridae.
AUUUUAUUAUUUUUUUGAAGAAAACACUGUCCAUGUGAAAAAGUAAUUGCCCCCUCACUUUCCAAUCCAAAAAAAUGACCAAGACAUUAAAUGAAACAAUCCAGAUGUGCUUUAGUUACAGACUUUCAGCUUUAAUUUUGAAGGUAUUUACAUCCAGAUCAGGUAAACGUUGUAGGAACUACAACAUAUUUCAGAUGUGCCCUCCGCCUUUAAGUAAUUGAACAAACCAACAUAUUGAACAGAUGUUUCAUUUUGAAAAGUUUUCAAAGUUGCUGCUAUUUCCGUAAACUGUAUUUUAUACAGCUCUCCACUGCCUGUACAUUAUGGAAGUAUUUACACAUUUCUUCUUGCUUCAUGCUGGAUUUUAAGUCAGACAGAGAGGGUGAAAUGGUGAUUUUCAUCUGUGAUUUCAGGGUUUAUAUGAAUAAAGCAGGAGCUGCACCCUUCUGUCCAACAGAUACAAUCCAUGAGGACAGCAAGAAUUCUGAAUUGUGAAACAACGCUAGGUUAUCCACCAGUGGUUGGGAUGUACAUUGAUUUUUAUGGUGCAGAGACAUAAUUUUGAUCAUUAUUGAUAUACAUUUGUAGAACCAGUGAAUCCUGCAUUUUGGAAACCCAGCUUUUGUUGCUGUUGUGGUUGCCACUGUUGUUGGCGCCACUGUUGUUGCUGUUGUGGUUGCCACUGUUGUUGGCGCCACUGUUGUUGCUGUUGUGGCUGCCACUGUUGUUGCUGUUGUGGUUGCCACUGUUGUUGGCGCCACUGUUGUUGCUCUUGUUGACGCCACUGUUGUUGCUGUUGUGGUUGCCACUGUUGUUGACGCCACUGUUGUUGCUCUUGUUGACGCCACUGUUGUUGCUGUUGUGGCUCCCACUGUUGUUGGCGCCACUCUUGCAGUUGUUGUUGCUGCUGUUGCUGUUCUUCUCCAGAAGGCAAUUUCAGGAACAAAGCACACUGGAGUCCAUCGAAAAUGAGAUGAAGGUUUGUGAAAUACAGAACAUUAAAAUAAAUAUUUUGGUAAUUCGCUAAGUCGGUAACAUUGGCUGCGGUGUACACGAGGCACUGAAGAAUGAAAGUGGGGACGUAGACAACCAGGAAGUUGCACAUUGCAACAACCAUGAUCAGUUUCUUCAGGGUGGAAGUGGACGGGGACAAGGUAGGCCUUCUAGAUGCUACAAUGACGGACAGAGCAAACAGAAACAUGAAAGCGGCCAAAGUGAAUAUGGG